This 3299-nucleotide long non-coding RNA is filed under the name Mus musculus (house mouse). RNAcentral's name for it is "long non-coding RNA chr15:12145227-12148526". The record is from RNAcentral. Lineage: Eukaryota; Metazoa; Chordata; Mammalia; Rodentia; Muridae.
UUCUUGCCCACCUCUUAUAUAUGUUUAAGGAGCUAAAGGAGUCUGAAUGGUGAAUAGGCAGUGCACUGAGUUUUAAGAAACCUGCUCAUAUAUACGCCAAACUUCAAACUUAAAGUCUUCACUAAAUAUCAGUGUCUAUGUAUGUCCAUUGUUGGUAUAAUGUGUUUAUUCAGUAUAGACUACCAACAGUGUAAAUUAACAGAAUCUAUAUAGUAAAUCAGAUAACCGUGCUGCUCUCAUGUUUUGGAAGAAAGAACACUGUAUUGAUUCUUGGUCCAUGGUCUUGUAACUUGUCCUUUUUUUUUUUAACUGAAUUUUAUUAUGUUGCCUCCUAAAUUUGCUUGCUCAUUUCUUGUUUUUACCAUUUAUACAAUCCAUAAAUUGGUCACUAGGACUUAAAAUCUUAUUCUCCUUAUCUGUUAUUGUCUUGGUUUGUCAGGUCGUAUUAUUUUAGGUUGUAAGCUUAACCUUUAGUGUCUGAGCCUUAACCUUUAACGUCUCCCCAGCCUAAAUCUUACUUUAUGAAGCGCUUCUGCAUUUUUCAUACUUUACGUUCUUCUUCAAAAGUCAGGGUUUUGUGAAAUGUGCUCAGAGGGUCAAUAGGUUCUGGAACCCACACAGUUGUCAAACACAUUCCUUCGGUUGAGCAGUAAGCAUCUUUUAAGUGAAGGGCAACAUCUUAUGCUUUUCUUAUACAUCUUUACAACACCUGACUGUCAAGUAAAUAUUUAAAUGACUUGCUGUAGAAGGUUGGUAAGUCUGGGGGGAGGGAGAGAUUUCAUGAGAUAAGAUACAUAUAUAAUUGUAAAUAUGCACAUGUAAUCUACCUUUUGACAUUUUUUGAAUUUAAAUUUAUAAUUGACAUUUAACUUGUCCUUUUAUAAUCAUAUAACAUAAUCUUUGUUUCGUUUUAUUUGUAAGGUACAUCUUAUUCAGGUUAUGAAGCAGCCGUAUAUUCAGCUGCGUCUUCCUACUACCAACAGCAGCAGCAACAACAGAAGCAAGCAGCAGCAGCAGCUGCUGCUGCAGCAGCAACAGCUGCCUGGACAGGGACCACCUUUACUAAAAAAACACCAUUCCAAAAUAAACAACUGAAACCAAAACAGCCUCCCAAACCACCCCAGAUUCAUUAUUGUGAUGUUUGUAAGAUCAGCUGUGCUGGACCACAGGUACUUAUAUUGUGUAUUUACCAUGAGUCUCCGUGGUUAUUUUUCAUAAUUGAGUAGGGUUGAUAUUCUAACUCCUGUGCCUACAAAGCACAUUCACAUCUGUGUAUUCUACACUCAGCAGCUCACCCAUAAAUCAAAAAUGUGCAUGUGGAAAACUACAUUGGUGUGGAGUACCUACACUUUUUUUCCCUAUUACUUUCUAAACUGAACAGUAAAACUGUUCAGUAAGAUUUACAACAGGUAUUACAAAUAAUCUAUAGAUUUUAAUGUAUGCAGGUGAAAUAGAUUAUGUGCAAUAAUUUUGCUAUUUUAUUUAAAGAACUUGAGUGUGCUUGGAUUUUGCAACAAUUUCCUGCAGACACUGAGAGAUGGCUGUAUUUCACUAAACAUUUCUUUGAAAGUCGUUUGUGUUGAAACACAAAAGCAAUAAUCAGGAAAACUGUAAAAGUGGCUAUAAAUGUUUGAAAAAUAAGGAAAUUGAGCCCUCCACCCAUUCUAGGGUGCCUCCUUUGCUUUUUAUAUAAAACUUUAAAAGAUUUUUAAAAUUCCAAUUAUAAAUUUUGAUUGUAUUUCUAAUGAGUCUAUUUUGUACAUGUUUUAUAGAAUGUAACUUCUAUAGCUCUCUCCACAAGGGGACUGGGAACAUUGGAAAUGAGAAAAGUUAAGAAAGAUGACCUCCCGUGCUGGGGAUACAAGGCAGUCAGUGAAGUGCUUGCCUCUGUUCUGAGCCGUAGACCCAUCCCCACAACUACAGAAUCAGACAUGGUAGUUGCUGCACGCCUGUAAUCCCAGUACUGAGAGGUAGAAACGUUUAUUGUUGUCCUUGGCUAUAUAGUUAGUUUUAGGCCAGCUUUGGUGAGAGACCCUGUUUUCUUCUACUCACCUAAAAGAAGAUCAACCUAUGACAAAUAUGAGUCCUUUAUUAUUUUUUUCUUGUCAUGGUUCUACCAGCUAUACCUUAAAAUGUUUGUUUUAAAGCAUGGGUCUGUUAAUGAAUUCAUCCCUUUCUAAACUCCACCUCUUUUGACUAUUAAGAGAGCCCUGUUUUGUCAAGUAUGGGGGCGUACACUUGUAAUCCCAACAACUUGUACAGCAAAAGUAGGAAGAUUUCACACGGUCAGCCUAGACUGCAAAACAAGAGCCUGUCUUAAAAAAUGUUAUGUAGGAAUUUACAUAAGAAUUGGCUAGAGGGAUGGCUCAGUGGUUAAGAGCACUUGAUCUUAUAGAAGCCUUGGGUUGGGUUUCCAGAGCUUUGUGCUAACUCACUUAACCACAGUUCCAGGGGUGUGGUGCCUCUUCCCUCUGAGGGUAUCAGGCAUGAAUGCUUUUGAUUUGUUUUCUGAAAUUUUAGGGCUGGAGAGAUGGCUCAGUGGUUAAAAGCACUGACUGUUCUUCUGAUGGUCCUGAGUUCAAAUCCCAGCAACCACAUGGUGGCUCACAAUCAUCCAUAAUGAGAUCUGACGCCCUCUUCUGAUGCAUCUGAAGACAGCUACAGUGUACUUAGAUAUAAUAAUAAAUAAAUCUUUCUUUAAAAAAAAAUUUUAGCAGCUUGGCAUAUAAAAAGCAUAUUUGGGGAGAGUAGGUCAAAUUUAACUCUUCACAUAUUUCUGUUUCCAGCUCUAUUCUACCAGUAUAUCUCUCCACCCCCUUUUGAGACAGAAGACAGACAGACACAGGGUCUCACUAUGUAGUGCUUGGCUCAUCUUCCCUCUACAGCACCAACUCACUGUGUAUGUAGACCAGGCUGGCCUCAAACUCACAGAGAUCUGCCUGCCUCUCCUCCCAGGUGCUGGGAUCAAAGGCGUGUGCCAUUAUGCUUGGCUUAUAUGUACUCUUUAAUUUAUCGGAUUAAUUUUGUUUUUAAUACAUAAUCCUGCAAUAUUUUUUUUUGGUGUUUUCUGAAUUAUUGACACCUACUUAGUAUUAAAAUAUAUGUACUCGUAUUCAUUCUUAAGCAAUCUGUUUAACUAGAUUAAAUAUUAAAGUGCAUUCAGAUUUUCAAAUUUAAAUUUUAUAAAUAUAACUUUUUAUAAAGAACUACUAUCAUGCAGUAGUUUUGCAGAUUAAUUCUAUAAUCAGACUUGUGUAAUGAUUUUUUUAAGUUAUUAUUUUCUGUCCAGUGUUAUACAC